AUAAAGGUGUCUUUAGACACCACUGAUAUUCUUUGAGUUUAUUACU
Molecule: non-coding RNA, 46 nt
Organism: Picea glauca (white spruce)
Lineage: Eukaryota; Viridiplantae; Streptophyta; Pinopsida; Pinales; Pinaceae
Source: Rfam